This 7834-nucleotide long non-coding RNA is filed under the name Marmota monax (woodchuck). The record is from RNAcentral. Lineage: Eukaryota; Metazoa; Chordata; Mammalia; Rodentia; Sciuridae.
GAGCAGGCUUUAAAAGUAUUUCUCAGUCAUGUAAUUAUGUUUUAAUGCCAGGUUCUUAAAAUGACUUAGAAAAGAAGAAGCAGCUCUGAAAAUUUUAGGUCUGAAAUGUGUUAGAAGUAUCUGGAGCAGCAGGAGGAUGCAUCAGGAAACGGGUGACAUUUAAUAGGGCUUAAGAAUGAAAAUGAUGACUCUCCACUUUCACAUAAAUGAAACCUCUAUAUCAAAGUUGAAAUUAGAUGAUAUGAUAAAAAUUGGCAUUUACCUAGUGUAAUAUGAUGGUAUUUUCUUAUUAUGAAAUUCUUCAGUGCAAGGAAGUUACGUGCUGGUCCUGUCUCACUCCGUAUAAAACUCCUUGCACAAGGAGAUCCAAUUGAAAUUCCACGGGUGUUCACACUUUUCUUCAUUCCAUGGAGAUGUGGAACAGCCUAGUCUGAAUACUUGACCUUUAUUUCUCAGCAUGCUCUUUUUUUUUUCCCCAGGACAAAGCCUUCUGAAUUCUUAAACCUGGAAGGUGGAGGUGAGAAUUUGCUGGUGAGAUGUGGAUCAGGUAAGUUCUCAGGUUUUCUUUAUAUUUUAUAAAUCCAGACUGUGCUUUACAUAUGCUUAUAAAGGGGGAAAAAAGAGAUAGUUAAUUAGGGUAUUUAAUUGUUUCUUUAGUCCCUCCCCCACCCCAGAGAGGAAUGUGAAAGAAUGAGAAUGGUUUUGUUUUUAUCUAAUUUCUAAUUUAAAGGGGGUAGGCAGGACCAAAAGCUCCUUUGCCUCCAACUGGCACUAUUUUUUUUUUUUAGUGGUGGUGAUGGUCAUGGGGAUUGAACCCAGGACCCCGUGUAUACUAGGCAAGAACCCUAACACUGAGCUAACAUCCCCAGCCCUCUGAGUAGAAUGUUGAGGUGUCUGAGAAAAAAAAAUCAAGUUUCUUUGAGGAACCUGAAGGACUUAAGACACAGCCUGCCCCAGAGUUUCUGAUUCAGCAAGUCUGGGAUGGAGUCCAGAACUGGAAUUUCUAACCCUAAGUCUCCCUUGAAUGCUGAUACUGCAGGCUAGGACCCACCCACUGAGAACUACUGCUUUCAGGUAAGGGAUCUUCCUGGCAACCUGGAAACCUCCUGGUCUCUCUGGAGCUUGAGAUCUGAGCUCAAUGCUAGGGUUGUGCUGGAGGGUGUCUCUGUGUGUGGGUAGGGGAUAGCUGAAUGUAUUUGUCCAAGGAGCAGGCAAGAUGUUGAAAUGGAAGAAAGUUGCAUCUACCCAAAGGCUGAGAAUCAGUGCCCUUUCCUUAGAAUGCUCCAGGCUUUACUGAGCCUGCUUCAAUCUUCCAGUGGGCUUGAAGAGAAGCGGCUUGGUCAGAAUCAGGUGAGCCAACCUCCUCAGAUUAAGCCUAGGACAGUAAGGAUACACACACCCACGGUACAUUAAAAGGCUUGCUUCUUUCUGGGCACCAACUAAGCUUUCCAAAUUUUUAUGUAUGCCCAGGGAUAAGGAAGGGAGACAAAUAACUAAGAUCGAAUUUCUUGCCAAUUCAGUGGCAUUAGGGAUGGCAGUCAGAUUUAAUUUGAAGAAAGUAAUUAGAUUUUUCUUGCCUAUCCAACUUAAGAGUCAAUGCCAUACCUACGACACAACUUUCUGGCUUAUCACACACAAUCCACUUAUAUUUAUAUUUGUGAACUCAAACCCAGUUCUGCCUCUGCCACAGCUUUGUGUUCUCUUUGUUCUCUGUGAGGGUAGGCAGGGCUUAUAAACUGUGUGACCUGGAAGUGUCCUGCUGAGUGGGCACACUGGGGCUGGAACCCAGCCAGGCUGUGAGGAAAGGGUGACUUUCUAUGAUUUUUCUAAUGGUUACAGGUAACUCCUGCAUAAGAUCACACAGUAGGAGCAUGCUAUAUUUUAUUCAGACACUUUCCUCUUGACUUUCAUGUGGCUUCUACUUUUCUCUGCCAUAACUAAUAUUCUCGUACAUUUCUCCUCUAUGUGUAGAUACAUUUGAGAUAUCUGACAUUUUUCACUUGAUUUUCUUCUCACAAAAAUUCUGUCAGUUAGAUAUGCAUUUUGUUUUUUAAAUAUGCAAAGACUUCUAGGAGUGUUCAGGCCAUCACCCAAGGGUGUUAAUUAGCUGGUGCAAGUUGCUUUCCUCUAAUUUCUAGCUGAGAUAUACUAUUUUGAACAAAUGGAAGAGAAACAAGAGGAGAAUGAGUAAAGAAUUAUUAAGGUAGGGACACUUGGAGUGAUAGGGAGUGGCGGCAGGUUUGAGAUACCAAGAAACCAAAUGAUAUCAAGGCACUGAUUUCCUGAGGGUCCUGUGCAAGGAUGUUGGAGAACAGAAAAUUGUCAAGGAUUAGUUUGCAUCUCAAAAAUUAUAAUUCAGUCCAGUCCUACUUUCCACUAAGAGGAAAAGGUACGUACUUUCUUCUCCCUCUUCUACUCUCCUGUAUUGGCAGCACCUCUUGUGCCUAGGAUUCAGGGCUCUGAUUGACCAGCAUUAAGUCCCAGUCUGGGUUCAACAGGCUUUGCAGGAUCAUAUGGCAAUUUGAUGUCACUGCAGCAUUGUUCUUAUAGGAAAUAGAUUUCUCUUUUCAAACAACUGAUUUGAUUUCAGCAUGUAUUUUUCGUAUCUAUCCACUUAUCAGAAGAGCCUGCCUCUGGUUUUAAAGCUCAAAUGUGGAGGACUCUGUCUUACCUUAGUAAGCACAAUGAAAAGCCCAGCUUGAGAAGAAAUCAUUUCUAAAAAGAGAUGUUCUGUUAUGUAUUUACUGCAGUUCUUAUGUAGGGGAGGUUUGGUGUCAUUUUCAAAGAUAUCCUGUUGCAUUAUAAGGUGCCCUGUCUCCUUUUCCCCCAUAAAACAAGGCGAGCCCUUAGGGCAGCUCCUUAGAAGGUUUAAGAGACACAGCCAGUGAUCUCAGUCCACCCUGGAUGGCAGGAGGCCAAAAGAGGGGACUGGUGCCCACUGCAGGGAACUGUUAAAUUCCUGACCUAGUUUUUGAAAAUAUGAGAGGAAAAAGCAGAGACACGAAUACUAGCUGUGGCCCCGUUCAGUAAGACCUCAUUUCUCUUUUCAUUUCACUUUAGCCACAUUUGUUUGAGCAGCAGGUGAAGCGACUUUUAAAAGACUGUCAUCGCCAAGGGAAGUCAUCUGUUUUACAUUAAUUGUCCAUUAGUCUCUAAGCCUCCAUCCAUUAAAAUCCUCAGCCACUCAUUAUGAAUAUUGUGCCUGAGUCCUGCUGUCAGCCUUUCAUUGCAGAGCUGUUUUUCUGCAUCUGACUUAAUUACUCUAAGUGCCUGUUCCUUUGAGCGUACCAAUUAAUGCUAACUUUCUUUCCUUGCUAGGUUGAACAGAGAAACCAAGGUGAGGACAGUUCGGCUGCUGUUUACUCUAAUUUAUUAGAGACCUUUCUGCCACAAGCUCACACAGUGGAUACCUUAUAUCCACACUGCUGUGCUUGCCUGAGGACUUCUACAUAUGUUUUGAAUAGACUUGUUUUUCUAUAGAGAAUAUGCGCCAUAAAUUUACAAUCCACCCAUGUUAUUGUGAUGAGGGGUUUAAAUUUCAUUUGUUCCCUAUUAGUUUAGACACGCACUUUUUAAAUGUAUGUGGCAAUCUGAACAACAGCUUGGAUGAAAUUGACUUUGUUGAUAGAAAAAUUAAGCUUUCAUCCUUUCUAAUUACAGCUUGAGGGGUGGCAGUAGUACAAUAAUUUAAUUACUGUAGCUCCCUUAAUAUAACCAACUCACCUACGUUUAGCCCUGUGGCUGCUGUUGGGAAAAAAACAAAUUUAAAUAGAGGAAGAGAAAAACUCAUUAAAGUAACUAGGAGUAGCUUCUAGAAGUUUUGGAGGCAAAUGAAACUAUUAUGUAGGACUCAGAGAAACAGAUUAACAAAUUAUCCUCAAUGCUUUUAUAAAAGCGUAAGAAAACAACCAUUCAAUCAGAUUUCUUUUAAAAUUUGUACCAUGUUCUCCCUGAUCAAUACUGAAUUUUAUAUAUUUUAUUAAUAUUAAAACAGCCAAUCAAUUAAUAUAAAUUCUUUUUCAAGAUAUUCUGAUAAUAUAUCUAUUCAUUCAGAUUCUGAUUGACUAUUGACCUUAAUUGAAUUUAUUACAGAUUUUAAAACUGUUACCAUGGUUUAGUUCCAUCUUAUAACUGAGGUUGUUAAUAAAUAUCCUUGUUAGUAUAAGGUACUUAUAAGUACUUGUUGAUUUGCUUGAUUAUCUCUAAGCAAUGCUCCACUCCAGCAACUCACAUACACAAUGUAUGCAGAGGGAUUUAAAUUACAGGAUAUAAUCAAAGUUUAAGACUGAAUUUUGUCUUUCUUAUUUCUUGAGGAUUGUUAGGAAAAUAUCCAUUUUUGACAUAAACUAUUCAGACAAAAAUCAGCGACCACUGUGGGAAACACUUAAAAUAGGUGAAGUCUGUCUCUGAGGCCCUAAGCCUUUUUCGCAAGAGGGCCCUAAUUUGGCAGUACCUGCUCCUGAACUUUGUCUUCUUCUCUUACCAUCUGGGGGCCAAUCCUAUAUUUCAUAUAUAUGGCCCUGGUCAGUAACAUGCUUUUAGCAAAUCGUUAUUGAAAUUUAGGAUUGUGACCAUUUUAGAGGGUUAUCCUCUUCGCCCUCAUUAUUUUCAUCCUCAACUUUUCUGGACACAGUCUUGUACAGAACUUGGAGUGGUCCUUCCCCACCCAGAUGGUGACCUUUGUCUUCUUGAUGGGUCAGCAUCCCUGAGAGAAAUUGCUUCUGCACCAUGAGCACAAACAGUGGCUUAAUCCAUUUUUACAGAGGGAAAUUUUGUAUCACUCUUAAGUAAUCCUCUAGUUUAUUUCUUGAACACACCUUUAAUACUUCACCCCAUUGAUAGAACACUCUUAAAAAUCCUACCAGCUUUUUUUUUCCCAACAGUUCUCAGAGCUUAGAAAAUUCAAAACUACAGUCUAAAAAUUCAUUGACAGACAUUAGACAUUUUUAUUUUCAUUUUUUUAUUUUGAGAUAGAGUAUCAUUAAUUUGCUUAGGGCCUCGAUAAGUUGCUGAGGCUCCUACCGCAUUCUCCCAAACAGCUGGGAUUAUAGGCAUGCACUACUACGUCUAGCCACUUUGUUUUCUAUUUUAAUUUUUUUUUCAAAAUUUCACCUGUUUCCUAAGGGAUCCUGGGGUAAAGUGAGGAAUUUAUUUAGGUAUAAAAUGAAGCACAUAGGCAGCAUUACCCGAAGUGGUUUAUGCACAUUAAUCUUGCCAUAUUCUACUUUGUAGUCUGUGAUCAAAUAAGUUCAAGUAGCUGUGAAUAUAAUGUGCCUUUUUGAACAAUUUAUGACACCAUUUCAAAAAGCUCAGUGAGGUCCUGAACCAAAUCGGCCUGUUUAACUUGUUUUAUCCAGCAUUUCUCUAACAUAGUCAACAGAAGAGCCACUGUAUUUUUUGCAGAAAACCUAAUAACAUCUAGAAAACAAUGGGGCAGAUCGUCUCCAGGUGUCCCAGGUCUGGCAUUGUGUCAUCCUAUAGAAAAGUGUUUAUAGGCAUAUCAUUGGUGGCAAGAAUACUUUCUUGUUGCCCAUCAAUAUUGAAGCCCAGGGAGCUCAGUGCAACAAUGGAAUUCUAUUUCUGUGCCCUAAGUACAGUGAUGAGCUAUUUUUCUGAUCCUAACAUUGGGGUAUAAAGAAGUAGUACUCUCAUUAAGAUCAGGAUUGAAAGUAGAUUUCUGGAAACAGUUGAACAUAAUUUCCAUAGAGUGUUAUGGUUUGGAUCUUAAAUGUCUCUCAAAGGCUCAGAUGCUCCGAGCCUCUGGCCAUUGGAAGGUGAUGAAACUUUUAGGAGGGGAGGCCUGGUGGAAAGAUUAGUCAGGGCAUGCAUUUGAAAGAGAAUCUCUUUCUUUUUGCUUCCCAGAUACCAUGAGGUAAGCGACUUUGCUGUACCACAUGCUACCCAUCAGGAUGUUCUGACUCGCCACAGCUCCCCAAACAACAAAGCCUACAGAGUAUGGACUAAACCCCCCCCAAAUCAUGAACCAAAAUAAACCUUUUUGCCUUUAUCGUUGUUUGUCUGGGGCAUGUUGUCACAGUGACAGAAAGCUGACUUACAUAGUAUAAUACAAUUGAAUUCAAGCAUAGUUGAGUGCUGUAGUGCAAAAUAAGAUGGGGAGUUCUACAGAAAUUCCCCAAAGACCUGUAAUUCUCAUUAACAACAUGGUGCCAGCAAGUCCUAGAGUCCCGCUCAGAUUCUUUUUUUCUUUGGGGGGGGGGGCGUGGUACAGGGAUUACUAGGAAUUGAACUCAGGGACACUCGACCACUGAGCUACAUCCCCAGCCCUAUUUUGUAUUUUACUUAGAGACAGGGUCUCACUGAGUUGCUUAGGCUUAGCUCUCACUUAUGCUGAGGCUGGCUUUGAACUCCUGAGCCACUGGGAUUAUAGGCAUAUGACACCACGCUGGCCCAGCUUCUUAUUACAAUAAAUAUCUGCCCUUUUGGAUCAGUUUUAGAGAAAACUACAUGUAUCUUUGUGGAGAGCCACUCUGGAAAUACAUGUCAUUGAGUCCUGAGCAAGAGAUACUGAACAAUUAUUGCACCUGCAAUAACUUAGGCUUUACCUCCGCUGGGAUAAUGAGGUGUGGCUCCAGGUGUAGACGUUACCUGGUGGGGUUGAUUUACACUCACCUGUUCCUUUGUAAUCCUAUCCCUUGCUCCCCCUUUUUUGGAUAGAAUGUUCUAAGAAACAGCAUCCCCCAAUAAAAGCCAACCUCAGAACUUGUGCUACCUCUCUCUUGUCAGCCUUUUGUGACUUUCUCUUGUCCUCCUUGUGGGAGCCUGAGACUGGGAGCUAGGGAAGCUGUCCUGAAGCUCAUAGAAAAAGGUAUUUGGUGUCCUGUGGUCUUUUUGUGUCACCCCAAAUUCACACAAGUGACUUUGGUACAGUUGCCUGAGUUGGAUGGGGGUAGCAAUCCUCUCCUUAUUUCUUAUUGCCAUAAACAUAGCAUCAGACACCCGUCCCAUAUCACCAUGGACAAAAAACUGGUUUUAUCCCAAGUUCAAGGUUAAAUCCUGGCUGAUUUGCAUAGUCCUAUUCUUUCCAAUGAUAUGUGCAGGGAUGGGCUUAAGAGCUACUUCUGACUAACAGGCCAUACAAGAGGCGUAGAAGGUUGCAGGGGGUUGAGAGGAAAUUUUUCCUUACUUCUGAAAACAUCAAACCCAGAAGUCAUGCUCCCUUUUGGUCACUCAACAUUAAUUUUGUUUCUGGAUGUCUCACUUGGGAAAGUGACAACCAUCCUACUUCUACAAAGAGCAUGGUUUCAAAAUAGAACUGAUGCUGAGGACAGCAGAGGAGAGGACAGGAGAACCCUGGGUCGAUGGCACCACUGAACCUCUGACUGUGCAUUCAUUUCACAUAGUUUAAGCCAGUCGAUUCAGUAUUUUUGUGUCUUGAGGCCCAAAUUUCCAACUAGCAGAGGCCCCUUUUAAUGCAACUAUUCAUGGCCAUUAUUUUCACUCUCGAAUUCUUCCUGGAUGUACUCUGUGAAUGUGCAGGAAGCAGCAGAAAGCUAAACACUACAUUUCUUUGUUCACAGGCCUCCCUACUCUGGUGCCCCAGGCAUACAUGAUGGUGCUUCCCUAGCAGGACAGCAUGUCAGAACAGCUCAGGGUGAAGUCAUGGACAACAGCACAUGCCCAGGAUGCCCACCUACUGAGCAUUUAUUUGGCUGGAGGAAGAUUUUGAAAUAAAGGAAAUGUGUGAAUUUCUUUUCUCCAAAAAUUCCCUGAUCCAUUCUUCCCUUGGCAAACACUUUUAGUCAUUGCAUUUAUUUAUACAUUUAAUGUAUGCAUGAUCAUUAUUAAAUUUCUACUUCAUUGGGAACUAUUUGAA